GAAACUGGGCUCAAGGUGAGGGGUGCUAUCUGUGAUUGAGGGACAUGGUCAAUGGAAUUGUCUCACACAGAAAUCGCACCCGUCACCUUGGCCUGCUGA
Nannospalax galili (Upper Galilee mountains blind mole rat) is the source of this 99-nucleotide microRNA precursor. Ensembl annotates it as microRNA 342. Its record names the gene Mir342. The record is from Ensembl. NCBI's taxonomy places the organism in Eukaryota, Metazoa, Chordata, Mammalia, Rodentia, Spalacidae.